RNAcentral lists this ribosomal RNA (253 nucleotides) under uncultured bacterium. Its description in RNAcentral is "partial 16S ribosomal RNA". It matches the Rfam family "Bacterial small subunit ribosomal RNA", at positions 524 to 776 of the family's 1533-position model. The record is from RNAcentral.
UACAGAGGGUGCGAGCGUUAAUCGGAAUCACUGGGCUUAAAGGGCGCGUAGGCGGGCCGGAUAGUCUGUGGUGAAAGCCUCCAGCUUAACUGGAGAAGUGCCAUGGAUACUGCCGGUCUUGAGGAGGGUAGGGGCAUCUGGAACGCUGGGUGGAGCGGUGAAAUGCGUUGAUAUCCAGCGGAACUCCGGUGGCGAAGGCGAGGUGCUGGACCCUUUCUGACGCUGAGGCGCGAAAGCCAGGGGAGCAAACGGG